This 264-nucleotide ribosomal RNA is filed under the name uncultured archaeon. Its description in RNAcentral is "partial 16S ribosomal RNA". It matches the Rfam family "Archaeal small subunit ribosomal RNA", at positions 717 to 982 of the family's 1478-position model. The record is from RNAcentral.
AGACGUCUACAUUAGAUACCCGGGUAGUCCCAGCCGUAAACUAUGCGCGUUAGGUGUAUCGGUGACCACGAGUUACCGAGGUGCCGAAGGGAAACCGUGAAACGUGCCGCCUGGGAAGUACGGUCGCAAGGCUGAAACUUAAGGAAUUGGCGGGGGAGCACAACAACGGGUGGAGCCUGCGGUUUAAUUGGACUCAACGCCGGACAACUCACCGGGAACGACAGCAAUAUGUAGGCCAGGCUGAAGACCUUGCCUGAAUCGCUG